This 787-nucleotide ribosomal RNA is filed under the name uncultured Desulfobacteraceae bacterium. RNAcentral describes it as "bacterial SSU rRNA". It matches the Rfam family "Bacterial small subunit ribosomal RNA", at positions 60 to 819 of the family's 1533-position model. The record is from RNAcentral. Lineage: Bacteria; Pseudomonadati; Thermodesulfobacteriota; Desulfobacteria; Desulfobacterales; Desulfobacteraceae.
AGUCGUACGAGAAAUCUUCAGCUUGCUGAAGAGAGUAAAGUGGCGCACGGGUGAGUAACGCGUGGAUAAUCUACCCUUGAAUCGGGGAUAACAUUGCGAAAGCGAUGCUAAUACCGGAUAACAUCAUAAAAGCUUCGGCUUUAAUGAUCAAAGAUGACCUCUACCUGUAAGUUGUUGUUUGAGGAGGAGUCCGCGUACCAUUAGCUUGUUGGUAGGGUAACGGCCUACCAAGGCCGCGAUGGUUAGCUGGUCUGAGAGGAUGAUCAGCCACACUGGAACUGACACACGGUCCAGACUCCUACGGGAGGCAGCAGUGAGGAAUUUUGCGCAAUGGGGGCAACCCUGACGCAGCAACGCCGCGUGAGUGAUGAAGGCUUUAGGGUCGUAAAGCUCUGUCAAGUGGGAAGAAGCUACCUGGGAGUAAUAUGUCCGGGUAUUGACGGUACCACUGAAGGAAGCACCGGCUAACUCCGUGCCAGCAGCCGCGGUAAUACGGGGGGUGCAAGCGUUAUUCGGAAUCAUUGGGCGUAAAGGGCACGCAGGCGGCCUGGUAAGUCAGAUGUGAAAGCCCGGGGCUUAACCCCGGAAGUGCAUUUGAAACUAUCAGGCUUGAGUAUGGGAGAGGGAAGUGGAAUUCCUGGUGUAGAGGUGAAAUUCGUAGAUAUCAGGAGGAACACCGGUGGCGAAGGCGACUUCCUGGACCAAUACUGACGCUGAGGUGCGAAGGCGUGGGGAGCAAACAGGAUUAGAUACCCUGGUAGUCCACGCAGUAAACGUUGUUCACUAG